GUAUAGAUGGACAGCCUGCUAACCCGAAGUCUAAAAGAGUGCAGGGAUCUAGCUCGUUCACUCGAGCUGCUGUGGGACAAGGACAAUACAUUAAAGGAACUUAUUCCUUUAGCAAGAUGCUACCUCACCCAAGCACUGGUCAUGUGACGCAAUAGGAGAAAAAAUUCCAAGAUUGUUACUUAACCUGGUAAAUUUCAAAAGGUGAAACGAGGAUCCCGAAAUGUCGUGUGCGCACGUGUCUCAACGUAGUUCGGAUUAUAAAGCGAAGGUUCGAGCACUCAGGAGCCACCUCGUGGCUUAAAGGCGACAUUUUGGAAGGAAGAAUCGUACGAUUCACGAAUUGUCGCUCUUGUCGUUCCGACGAUGAGCUGCAUUCACAACUAGUAACAGCAUUGCGACACGCGACUGUGACUGAAAGCUUCUGUCUAUAUAGCAUCAUCCACUCAUGGAUUUGUACCACUAUUUGUAAUGCGAAAUAAAUUUUUAUCUACACAAUUA
Long non-coding RNA from Eufriesea mexicana, 498 nucleotides. RefSeq lists it as uncharacterized. The record is from RefSeq and is a predicted model, not a curated record. The transcript has 3 exons. Lineage: Eukaryota; Metazoa; Arthropoda; Insecta; Hymenoptera; Apidae.